Molecule: non-coding RNA, 324 nt
Organism: Vicia faba (fava bean)
Lineage: Eukaryota; Viridiplantae; Streptophyta; Magnoliopsida; Fabales; Fabaceae
Source: the annotation of a GenBank genome assembly
CGAAUAUUCAUCUACGGCGGCUACCACCCUUUCAUCUUCUACGCUAAGCAAACCAAACCUAAUUUCAAUCCAGCCCAUAAAACAAUAGCCCAAAAGAAAAAUAUUUACAAAUCAAUAAAGAUUAAAGAAUCAUAUUUAUUUGAAUUUACAACACAAAAUCGUCCAAGUACAAAAUCAAUUACAAUUAAUUUCAGGAAUCAAUCUAACACUAAUUCUAAAUCACGAUCAAUCCACAAACAAAGCAACCUAAUAAUAAAAUCACUAAUUUCCCAAUCUCGGAUUUAUAAUGUAAAUCAACAGAAUUUUCACAAUCUAAGCCUAUAA